RNAcentral lists this ribosomal RNA (298 nucleotides) under uncultured bacterium. RNAcentral's name for it is "partial 16S ribosomal RNA". It matches the Rfam family "Bacterial small subunit ribosomal RNA", at positions 475 to 776 of the family's 1533-position model. The record is from RNAcentral.
CUAUGCGCCUUGCCAGCCCGCUCAGGUGUGCCAGCCGCCGCGGUAAUACGUAGGUGGCGAGCGUUAUCCGGAAUGAUUGGGCGUAAAGGGUGCGCAGGCGGUCCUGCAAGUCUGGAGUGAAACGCAUGAGCUCAACUCAUGCAUGGCUUUGGAAACUGGAGGACUGGAGAGCAGGAGAGGGCGGUGGAACUCCAUGUGUAGCGGUAAAAUGCGUAGAUAUAUGGAAGAACACCAGUGGCGAAGGCGGCCGCCUGGCCUGUUGCUGACGCUGAGGCACGAAAGCGUGGGAGCAAAUAGG